GUGGAUUAGAUACCCUGGUAGUCCACGCCGUAAACGAUGAGCACUAGGUGUCGGGGCCGCAAGGUUUCGGUGCCGCAGUUAACGCAUUAAGUGCUCCGCCUGGGGAGUACGCACGCAAGUGUGAAACUCAAAGGAAUUGACGGGGACCCGCACAAGCAGCGGAGCAUGUGGUUUAAUUCGAAGCAACGCGAAGAACCUUACCAGGGCUUGACAUCCUUCUGACCGGUCCUUAACCGGACCUUUCUUCGGACAGAAGUGACAGGUGGUGCACGGCGGUCGACAACU
Molecule: ribosomal RNA, 285 nt
Filed under: uncultured bacterium
Lineage: Bacteria
Description: partial 16S ribosomal RNA
Rfam family: Bacterial small subunit ribosomal RNA
Source: RNAcentral